RNAcentral lists this long non-coding RNA (2642 nucleotides) under Olea europaea subsp. europaea. Lineage: Eukaryota; Viridiplantae; Streptophyta; Magnoliopsida; Lamiales; Oleaceae. The record is from RNAcentral.
CUUGUCAACAAUGUUGUCAAAAUCAUUAUACACCAAGUAUGAUUCCUAACUGAAAUCCAAGCGAAGCAUAGGCGUUGAUGGAUUUCACUUUUGGCAGUUAGAUCAUUCCAACACAAAAAUGAAUUGCCAGUUCAGAUUUCCCAAACACGCCUCACCUAUUUUCACCCUGAAAGCCUCAAUUUGUAGAAUGCAAGCCACCAAAUUGGACCCCCAGAUUCUCUUUAAACCCAAAAUUUCAAAUCAAUUUUACCACACAAUUGGACCACGAAGCUUGAUUUUUGCAGUAUUUCAUAGGGAAGUGAGUCUUCCAGAGCAAGAUCAGCAAGAGCAAAUGCUAGGGGGCAGAGGGUGUUUUGUAGUGUGGAUUUUUUCUGCUUGUGUUGUUGCAGCAAGAGCAGAUGUAGUUUUUUGAAGGCAGCAACUGGAUUAUUGCUAGUUUUUUUUAUGUACAGAUUAUAAUUGCAAAAAAAGAAAAUUGUUGCUUGUUUUAUUUUGAGGCCCCAUUUGUAUCCUAUUUUUCCUGCCGUGUUAGUAAUUUUUUUACCGUUACCCAACCCACCUUCUUACAUCCCAUUAGUCUUCUACUGUACCAUAGUACACAUCUAUUUUUCCUUUUUCUCAUUUUGCCCUUCCCCUCAAACGAAGAAAAAAUCUUCUACCAAUGGGGAAGACGAAACUGUAGAAUGGGUGACGACGAUUUAAAGCAUCCAGUGAAAUUGUUUGGCCCAAUUCGAUAUAAGGUCGUUGAGCACUAUAGCUGCAAAAUAUCCUCCUCCUGCAUCGGUGUCGCUGCUGCCUUCCCUUCGCAUCGUUAUCAGAACGAAUGGAACCGAUCGACAAACAGGUAUUUCGAUAGCCUAUACUUUCUUCUGGUAAAUGCUAUUUGUUGAUGUCCAAUCUUGAUGUGCAUAGAUGGGCUACAUUUCGCACGGUAACUCGUCCACUCUACCUGAACUCACACGUGCCUUAAGCUCGAAAACAUAUGCGCGGUUAAACCAAAUGGAGUGUAAAACAUUCAUUGCAGCUUGUGAAACUGCCAUUGUCAAGGGUCAUCGAAAUGGUCGGUGUUUUACGAAACACAGCUGGAAGCGUGUGAGUGAGCUAUUCAACUCUAUCUCUAGCCACAACUGGAGCAAGUAACAACUGUGCAACUACAGGGACGCAAUGCGUCAAACCUACAAACAUCUUUACGAGCUGUUGACUUGCAGUGGGGUUAAAUAAAACCUAUCCACUUGUCGAAUUGUAGCAUCGGAGGAAUGGUGUACUCGAAAGAUCAUGGUAACCUAUUUUCUUGUCGGAAUGCCUCUGUAUGGAUAAUUGUACAUUGGCGCGCCAUUCGGCACGCUACGGUCUUGUAUGUAUGCAUUUCAAUUCUGCCAUUCUGUACACAUGGUUUUGCCUGGAUGACUGCAUUUGUGUGUCCUAUUUCUUGCUCCCAAACUGUAAAUGUAUGUUGUCACUUUUGGCUAUGGAUAACUGUUGUGUAUCACUCGUUUUGGAUACAAAUGUACUAUUCAUUAAUGUGUGACGACUUGACGUGCAAACGUUGUCAUGCUUACUUACUACAUAUUUUGUGUGCAUCAUACUGCGAAUUUGCACUUUCAUUUUAGACGUAAAUUUUAAGAUGGACAAAUCUGUCUUGCUUGGGAGGUGUGGUGUUUGGUAAUGGUUACUGAGGCUGUCUUUUACCUUUCUGUUCACUUUUUCACAUGUGCCGGUGCUCAUUGCAUCGUACUAUGCUAACUGAAUUUGUUUGACUACCUUAUUCGGAUAGUACUCACAUUUUGGUUUUCGAAUAGAAGUAUUGGUAUAAUUGUUUAACCCUUGUUUGCAGGAGAACAAGGAGUACAAAUAUUUUAAGGACAAAGAUGUAAGCAAGAUUUACACUCGCUAUCGUCCACUAAUCGGUGACAGUUAUGAUGAGAGCAAGUAUACCGUCACUUUGACGAAGUUGUGUAGAAUGGGGUUCGGGUUGUUUGAGGAUAGUGCGCUCGAAGACCACCAAUGGGGAGAGCAGCGGUUCAAGUGAUGAGGGAGACGAUACAAACGAUAGAUUAAGCGUGAAUGUCUCCUACACCAUAAGCGACAAAAAAAUGAAAUCGUCCACGAGCAAGCAACAAGGAAAAAAGAAGAAAAUUUUUGUGCAUGAGCUGUAGUUCUCAAUUAAUCGGGCCACAAGUGCCAUUGAAGAAGUGGUGGCAAAGAUCAAUACCAUGAUGGCUUCGACUAACAACGUUGGUGUUGCCUACAUUAAAGAGUUAUUACCAAUUGUAUGGCUCGAGCGUCGAAAACCUUUGUACUUUUACGCCUGUAAACUUCUGGCGCAAAAAUAUUAUCGAGAUAUGCUUGGUGUCAUGAGAAAUGCUGACGAAAGAUUUGAAUGGAUUGAGUGGUAGUUCAAUGAGCAGGACAAACAAUUCCGCCUAUGAUAUUUCGAAUUUGUUGUAUUUGUGUGUUUGUUUUCAAGAAUUAUUUUCCUUUUCUUUGCACCAUUCCAUCACCAUCGAACGUUAUAUGCUUGAAUAUUUGUAAUGUGCUUAUAUUGUAAAUGUUUUUCUGUAAUGUACUUGUUUCCUUCAGACACAAAAUUUAUUGUAUCGAUGUAGGACAAUUUCUGACAUAGUGUACACCCUGAUUGUGGA